Molecule: long non-coding RNA, 25222 nt
Filed under: Solanum tuberosum (potato)
Lineage: Eukaryota; Viridiplantae; Streptophyta; Magnoliopsida; Solanales; Solanaceae
Description: long non-coding RNA (STUB_LNC004885)
Source: RNAcentral
UUUUUUUUUGUUGGUGAACUUACAUGAUUGUAGUUCACGUCUGUGGCAAUAUAAGCUGGAGAAUACCUGCAAAUAUACCAACAGUUUAUAUAAUUAUGUCUCUAUUUUUCAAUUUAUAAGAUAGGAAAUUCUUUAAAACAAUUUGACCAUGGUUGCCAUCAUUGUUGUAUCAACUAUGUAAAAUAAAUUAAAUAUUGGGACUUAUCUUACUUCUUUUUAGAAUAUUUCAAGUAGUAUUCCUUCCUUUUAAUUUAGGAAAAAAGGUUUGAUAUACUCAUUAACUUUGUCAUUUAAAACUAAUAUAUUUAUCGUUAUAAAAUUGACAUAUAUCCUUUUUCAUCUAAGAGAAAAUGAUUUUUUUAAAACUAUUUUACCUUGGGUAUAGUCCAAAAUCAUUAAUUAUUAUAACUUAGUAUGUCCGCGCUAAUUUAGACGGUGUUACGCCAAAUCUUACCGCAUAAAGGAAAAAGGAGGGAGUCUUGUUAGUAAGAAUAAGGUCUCAUUUAUUUGCAUUUAAUGGAGGUUUGAAUCUGAAUGGUUCAAGCAUUAAGUUGAAUGAAAAACUAAUUAAACUAGAAUAAUAUUGAGAUCCAAAUCAAAAUAAAAAGAUUAGAGAGUAAUUAGGGUUUAUUUAUUUAUAUAUUUACCCAUAGAAAGGAAGAGGCUGAUGAUGGUGCUGAUGGUGAAAGGGUGAAGCCGGAGCUGCAGCUUGGGGUGCCGCAGCAGGAUAGUACCACUGCACGUGACUUGCAGGUGAUGCUGAAUUAGCCCUUGGUCCUACCACAUUAGCUCCUUCAACAUUUUUCAAUAAAAAUAUAAAAUAGAAAUUAGACUUCACAUAAUUUAUUAUCACAAAAAUCUAUCUCUAUUCAAUUUCCAUGUCAAAUCGAUAGAUGCAUAUUAAGUGUUUGCAUAUAAAUUUCUAUACAUAAUCAUGAUCAAUUCAUAAUACUAUAGUUUCAUCUUAUAAGUUCCCUUAACCAUGGUAAUUUGAUGUAAACAUUGAGUGUCAAUAAAUUCAGAUUCAUUAUUUAACAUGAUAAAUUAUAGAAAGAGAAAUAUUGAAAACAUGACGUACAUUAUCAAUUUCAUUCUCGAACUAUUGUAAGCCUUACAAACACCUCUUUAUUUGACUAAUUGAACUUAAAUACACCUUGAUCUUGCAAUAUGAGUGAUAUUCACCCUUAAAUUCUCCCCAAAUUUACGGGUACUCUUACAAUAGUUUGAGACUACUUGCUAUGUAUUCAUAUGACAGAUCGGAGAUUUAUCCGGGGUAUCAAAAUCUAGUUAAUCUAGUAAAGAAGUAUUUUUAAGACCGUCAGUAAUUCGAUAUAAAACUAAUAAUUUGUGUGAAGGAAAAAAUGUUUUCAAUACUUCUCUCAUAUAAUAAAAUUUUCCAUAAGAGGUACCUUGUUGAGGAGGAGGGGGGGGAGUGAUAGAGGGAGAGGGGCGGGAACGACGGGCGCCGAGGGACGCGAGAUUACAGUUGGCUCGGCGCCCGUUGAUAAUGGGAGUGGCAUCCUCGCAUGCUUUUUUGGCUGAUUCUGCGUCCUUAAAGGUCACCUAUCCAAAAAGAGGCGAAAAAAGAUUGAGUCAUUUUACAUAAAUUAAAAAGUAGUAAACGUUAAUUUGUCAUACACUAAUCUUGUAAAAAUAAAUGUGAUAGAGAUUUAAAUAAGACAAGGAGAAUUGAUAACAUACAAAGCCAUAGCCUUUGGAUCUUCCGGUGAGCUUAUCGGAGAUGAUGACAGCUUCCAAGAUGUCACCAUACUUGUCAAAGUGCUCUUUCAUGGCUUCCUUAGGAGUUUCCCAUGCCAACCCUCCUACAAACACCUUUGUUAGCGUCGUAUCCCCCAAGUUGUUGUGGUUAAUAUUGCUCAUCGUCAUGUAGAGAGAGAGAGAGAGAGAGGACUAAUGAAUGAAGUUUAGUUAGACUUCAAGGACAGAAAAUAGAGGACUUAAUUGAAAAAACAACUUCUUCAAGACUAUAUAAACUUGAGAAACAAGAGGGGGAGGAGGAAGUUAAAGGGGGAUCGGGAGAUUGAUGGAAUAUUCAUCAUAUAAUAUACAUACAUUAAUAAUAUAUAUAAAAGGAUUUUUAAUACUAUUAAUAGCCUAAAAAUAUAUAUUCACAAGUAACUAACUUACCAUAAAAAAUAAAAAUAAAACUAGGAAUAUAAUCUAAAACAUAGGAAAAUUACUUGCUUCAAAAUGUUACUCUCCCUGUCCUAAUUUAUGUGGCGUUUUUCUAGAGUCAAACAGUUUAAUUUUGAUCAGAAAUUUGCUCAUGGACUCUUAAAAAAAUUUGAAAUACAAUUUAUAUAUUUGUAAAUUACGUAAAAAGUACUAUAAAUCACAAUAGUUUUUAAAAAAAAUAUAAACUUAUUUGAAUUUCAAAAUACGAAAAGUACCACAUAAAAUGAGACAGGAGAAGUAUAUAACUUUUUAUAAUGUCAGUGUAUAUAAAUUAAACUUUGACGCCCGCACAUAUACAAUAUACACAUAGAACUUAGUUGUAUAUAGUGCAUUGUUGUGUGUGGGUGGGGGUGGGGUAGGGUGGGGAUGGAGGGGGGUGGGGUGGAGAAUAAGAAAAUGGAGAAAAGCAGGAGGACAGAAAAGCAUACAGUUGGACGAUGGGUUGAGGCCAUCAACGUGGUCUCCUUUUCUUCAUCAUCUUCUAUCUGGCAUUGUGUAAUAACUAACAUGCUACUCUUCAUUAAACUUUACUUACCAUAUUAAAAGCCCUACCUUUGUAUGUUGUGCUGUAAUAUUUCCUUUCCAAAUUUGGAGGCAUAACAAUUUAAGUUUAUGGUCCACGCGUUAUUCCUUUCCUUUAACCAAUUUAAGAAUUUUUAUGUAUUUGCCUCAAACUUCUAAUGCAUAUUUGGCUAGAAUGGGCAAAGGAGUAAAUAUACCCCUUCACUUUGCGAUUUAGAACAUAUGUAUUUCUUAUUAAAAAAGUGGUGUAUAUAUAUUCUUGUCGUUUAAUGAAUGGUGCCAGAGGCGGAUCUAGGAUUUCAGAAGGAUGAGUGCACUAUUACGAAAAAAUGCAUCUAACAUAUAAAUUUGAUCGAUUUGACCUUUACGUUCUUAACACUGAACCGUUAAAUUUUAAAAAUUAUAGGUCCAACAUAUAUAAUACUACUAGUUUUAGAUUUUAAUAUACACAUUUGAUUUAAUUAUAUAAAUUUUUUACAAUGCUAUUAUUUUUUAAGGAAUUUUCAAUGUAACACACUUGACAAUUUUAAAAGAUUAAAGCCAAAAAACAAAAGAGAAAAAUGAUUGAAACGCAAAAAGUGUUAUCGAUAACCACUUGGAGGAGUAUUACUAAAAAAACUAAGAUAGAUAUAAGUUUCUAUCUUUGCUUAGAGAGGUGCACUCAAUCAUCAUCGUAUUAUUUAUGUUACUUUUAACAUGGGCUCACACCUCUAUAUUUAAAUAUUUUUUAAAAAAAACAUAACACUACUAUAUAUGAUCUAGAGAGGGAGCAUGGGUUCACAUGAACCCACUGAACCCCCUCUAGAUACGCCUCUGAAUGGUGCAUAUAUACCCUCAUCGUCUAACAAAUGGUGUAUAUAUACCUUUUUCGUUAACAGGCUUAAUUUUUUAAAAAAAACAAUCUUAAAAAUAAUUUUUAAAUUCCCAAAAUAUCACGUCACUUAAAAAAAUUACCUCAUCCAUUUUUCUUACCCACCCAGACCCUACCAAAUUAAAAGAAUCUCAAUCCUUCUUCUAUUCAAACCCAAUCCAAACUCAUUUUAUGAAUGAGUAGGCGAGGAAUUAAAAAAAUUAUUUGGAUCGGGUCUAGAGGUGUGAGAAAAGGGUGAGAUAAUUUGUUGAAAACACGUGACAUUUUUGCAAAAUAAAAAAAUCAGUAUUAUACAACAACAUGCCUAGUGAAAUCUCACAACUGAGAUCUGGGGAGGUAGAUUGUACGUAGACCUUACCACUACCUCGUGAAGGAGGUUGUUUUCGAAAUACCCUCGGCCCAAGUUCAACAAAUCCAGGUGUAAAAAAAAAGGAGACAGUGAAAGAAACAUAACAAGUAACAAGGCAAAGUCUACUAGAAAUUAAGGAGCCAAAAACAACAAUAAAAAGAUGUGAUAAUCAAAACAUAAUAGACAUCAUAUUAGGAUAGAUUAUUGAAAACAAUAAUAAAAAACAGAAAAAGAACUACAAUAAUCCAACUAGUACCAGACAAACACUAGUCAUCCUAAGAAACACAACACUACACUACCUACUAAAUAUCUACCCUAAUACGUGUCAUCCACAUCUUCUUAUCUAAGGUCAUGUCCUCGGUAACCUAAAACUUCAUCAUAUCAUGUCUUAUUGUAACACCCCGUAUCGGAAAGAGGGAAUUAAACCAGAUUUUUGAGAAGUUGCAGGUGUCAGCCACGGAGGCCAACCACGGCUCGUGGGUUGAACCACGAACCAUAGGUGUGGUCCGUGGGUUGGUCACUCUUCCAGAGUUCAGGGGUCCCAAGUCAUGGUCUCUGAUGACCAACGACGGUUCACCAGGACGGACCGUGGGUUAGACCACAGCCCAUUGACUGGGCCCGUCGUGGGUCACUCAGGAAAAGGUCCAAACAUGGACCACAGAAGGGAUCUACGGACCGUAGGUCGGUCCACGCCCCGUGGUCCAGGGUUCCGUCGAUGGCCAAAAUUCUCUGUAUUAGUGACGGAUGUGGUGGAUGGACCGUCCACGGUCCGUUGAUGGGGGUCUCAUGGGUCACUACUGGCAGUUAUUCUUAGGGUUAUUUGGGUCUUUUUCUAAUUAAUUAAUUCCUAUACUAUGUCAUUUUGCCUACAUCUAAACCACCUAUAUAAGUAUUUUUAACCCCAAAAUCCCCCAUUUAAUUCAUUCUUCCUAAAUCCCAAAAGAAAACCAACUCCUCUCAAAUAUUCUCUCUCAAGAACUUGACGAAGAAGAAGAAGAUUUCACCUAGGGUUUCAAGUUAAGGAUCCAAAUUCUCCAUUGAAGAUAGGAAAUUGGACUUGAGGUAUGAUAGCUUUCAUCCAUGGGUUCCUUCCACCCAUGGAAUCCCCAAAUUCCUCUAUUUCAAAUGGUAGGAUUCCACAAUUAGCUAGAGUUUUCUUCAAACACCAUGGGUUCUUUUGAUUAUUGAUCUUAAUGGUUUAAUUAUGUCUAAAUAUGCAUGAAUUGAUAAUUUACAAUGCUUUAUGAUGUAUACCCUAUGAACCCAUGCAAACCCCUAUGUUUUCCAAAUUGUGAUCUCAUAAUAUGAGUUGUUGAUGAUGAAAGAAGAGUUUUAUGAUCUAAAGCAUGAAGUAAUAGAAUUACAUGAAUUUAUGAUAAAAUCCCUAUCUAAUGUUAGAAUUCUAGAUUUGGUGAUUGAAAGUAGCUUUGAACCUUGAAAGGGCAAAGUGUGAGUUUAUGCAUGAUCUUAUGAAACCUAUGUAAUGCUUUAAGGGUGCUUUGAGAGUGAAGUGUCAAUGUUGUUGUUGUUGUUGUGUUGUUGAAAGGUUAUUCUCAUAAAACACUUACAAUCAUGAUGUGAAAGGUUUUCUCACAUAGAAAGGAUUCUUAGGUUGAAAGGUUAUUCUCACCUAAUUGAAUAAAUGAAUAAGAGUUAUCCUAAUGAACUAGCUUGGAUUGACAAGAUGACAUGUCUUUCCAUGGACAAUGAAAAUAAAUAAGAAAAUACUAUUCCGUGAGAAUUAAGCUUAGCAGUGAGUGGCUUGAGAUGGAAGAUAUCUCGUGAGUAGAGGCCGAGUUUCUAGAAGAAGUCUCAUGAGAUGGAAGCUCACCCGUGAGUAGAGGCCGGGUUUCUAGUAGCAAUCUCCUUAUCACAUAACUAUGUGCCCUCAUAGGUUGAUUAGCUAGUGGAUCCACUUAAUCUAGAUGUUCAUGGUUCUACCUUAGGCAAGUAGAACAACCCUUUUCGAUGUAGGAGACACCGGGUGAUCAUGUUUUAGCUCACAUGAUAUCUUUGUCGGUUAAGGCUAGUUCUUUCACAACAAGUUGACUUAUGAACUAAAGUUACUUAAAGAAGUAUCUUAUAUGUGCUCAAAGACAUAAAGAUGAUUUAGCUUGCAUUGACCAUGAUGUUAUUACCUAUGUUUUCCAACUAUUUUUAUUAUGAUGUUUAAACUUGGUAAACUGCUUAUCAUGAAAUGAAAUGUCAUUUUUAGCAUGUUUUAAAUAUUUUUAUGUAGAAUUAUCAUACUUCGUGCAUUUUUGUACUAACUCAUACUCUUGCCUACAUUUUUCCCAAAUGUAGGGUCCGACAGGCAGGGUUUCCAAUCUAGUGGCUAGAGCUUGGACUUUGAUCUCUUUUCGAGCUUGGUGAGUCCUCAUAGUUCGAGGAUGGAUUUCCUUAUUGUAGUUUCACUUUCGUAUUUCCUUUUUGGACAUAAUGUAUGGUCUAUGUCCACUUUCAUUCGAUUGUAAUAGAUGACUAUGUUGAGACAUGAGCUAGACUUCCGUUUUUCUAUAAGAUGUUUUGGACUUAAAUAUUAUUUUUACUUUUUAUUGUUCUAAUGCUUUAUGCUAUGAGGAUUAAGUGGCUUCUAUGGAGUCCUUCGGGGUUCUAUACGCUAUAUUAUAUGUAGGGGGUACCCCUGGGUCGUGACAAACUUGGUAAUCAGAGCACAAGGUUUAGAAUGAUCCUAGGAUGAUGUCCCAUAAGCCGCGUCUAGUAGAGUCUUGUUCAGGAGUGUGAAGCGCACUAGACUUAUGAAUGAGAGGCUACAAGAUGAUUAGGAAACUACACUUUUUUCAUUACUCUUAAGUUGUGCCAUAGAGUUUAACUCUAUAAAGUCUCCCUUCUAAUCCUUACCUUAUGCUCUUCAGGAUAUGUCUAUUCGAAGAGCUUACACUAGAAGGAAUGUGAGGGAGAAUAUGGAACAAGAAGCUCCUACCCAAGCUCCUUCUCAAGCUCCGGUCGAUCCCUUGGCCGAAAAAGUUACUAAUGUAGAGUUUAGAUCGGCUUUUCAAGUGUUAGCCCAAGCCAUGAUGGCUCAAGCCAAUAGAGAGGUGGUAGUCCUCGUGAACCUUAGUGUGGGUACAAUGACUUUAAGAGUGAGAUUUCAUGAGGAUGAACCCUCCGAAAUUUCAUGGCUUCAAAGUUGAGGAAGAUCCUCAAGAGUUUAUUGAGGAAGUCUACAAGGUACUUCCUAUCAUGGGAGUGACUUCGGGAGAGAAGGUGGAGUUGUCCACCUAUCGAUUGAAAGGUGUUGCUCAAGUUUGGUACAAUCAAUGGAAAGAGGCUAGACCGGCGGGAGCGGGUCCUAUUGAAUGGGAAAGGUUCAAAUCCGCUUUUCUUGAUAGAUUCUUUCCCUUUGAGAUGAGGGAAGUCAAGGUGCUAGAGUUCAUCAACCAUCUUCAAGGAAGCAUGAGUGUAAAGGAAUAUGCUCUAAAGUUCACUCAACUGUCCAAAUAUGCUCCAACAAUGGUUGCAGAUUCAAGAGCUAGAAUGAGUAAGUUUAUAUCGGGGGUGUUGAAAUUGGUGGUUAAAGAGUGUCGUACCGCCAUGCUCAUUGGUGACAUGGAUAUUUCUCGUCUCAUGGUGCAUGCACAACAAAUCGAAGAGAAUAAACUCAAAGAGAAGUCUAGAGAGGUAAAAAGGGCUAAGACCGGUGAUGGUAAUUUCCCACAUGCUAGAUCCGAUGGACAUGGUCGUCCUAAGUUUCGUCAAGGGUUUUCCAGUCAAGGUUCCUCUAAUGUUCCACCUAAGUUUAACAAGGAUAGGGUGUCUAACCCUAAACUUCAAGGAGGGAAUGGUGGUGGUUCAUUUUUGGCUAGGUCUACAUGUGCUAAGUGUGGGAAGAAACAUCAUAGUAAAUGCCUAGCCGGCACCGAUGUUUGCUUUAGUUGUGGGAAGAGUGGUCACAAAAUGAGAGAUUUCCCCAUGUUCAUGGAAAAAGGAAGGGAAGGCAAACAAGCUCUUCAUAGCGGUUCAAACUCCAAUGCUCCAAAGUAAAAUCGCUUAUAUGCUCUCUAAUCCCGAGGUGACCAAGAGAGUCCCCCGGAUAUAGUGACCGGUAUGUUAAAAAAAUUUCAACAUGAUGUGUAUGCCUUGUUAGAUCCCGGUGCUACUUUAUUUUUUGUGAUGCCGUAUAUGGCAAUGAGGUUUAAUGCUCCUCUAGAAGUGUAAUUAGAACAUUUUUUCUGUCUGUACUCCUAUUGGUGAUUCUGUGGUGGCUAAGAGGGUUUAUAGAAGGUAUCCCGUUUCCUUGUACCAUAGAGUUACUCUUAUAGACUUGGUAGAACUUGACAUGUUAGACUUUGAUGUCAUUCUUGGGAUGGAUUGGCUGCAUGCUUGUUAUGCCUCUAUUGAUUGUAGAACUCGAGUGGUCAGAUUUUAAUUUUCAAAUGAGCCUAUCCUAGAGUGGAAGGGGAGAAAUUUUAUGCCUAGAGGUCAAUUUAUGUCUUACCUUAAAGCUAGGAAGAUCAUCUCGAAAGGUUGCUUUUACCAUGUUGUUAGGGUGAGGGAUGUAGGUUCUAAAACCUCUUCUCUCAAGUCGAUUCCCGUGGUUAACGAAUUCCCAAAAGUUUCCCCCGAUGAUUUUCCCGGUAUUCCUCCCGAGCGGGAAAUAGAUUUCGGUAUUGACCUCUUCUAGGAUACACAACCUAUUUAUAUUCCUCUUUGUAGAAUGGCUCCGGCGGAGUUAAAAGAGUUGAAGGAGCAACUAAAAGAUUUAUUGGAUAAGGGUUUCAUCCGACCGAGUAUCUUUCCAUGGGGUGCUCCCGUGUUGUUUGUUAGAAAGAAAGAUGGGUCUCUUGUAAUAUGCAUUGAUUAUCGUCAAUUGAAUAAAGUGACCAUUAAGAACAAGUAUCCUCUCCCAAGAAUUGAUGACUUGUUUGACCAACUUCAAGGGGCUAGUUAUUUCUCUAAGAUAGAUCUUCGUUCAGGCUAUCACCAGUUGAGAGUAAGAGGAGUUGAUAUUCCAAAGACGUCUUUCUGAACUCGGUAUGGCCAUUAUGAAUUUCUAGUGAUGUCAUUUGGUUUAACUAAUGCUUCGGGGGCAUUUAUGGACUUGAUGAAUAGAGUGUUUAGGCAAUACCUAGACAUGUUCGUGAUUGUGUUUAUCGAUGAUAUUUUGAUCUAUUCAAGGAGUGAGGAUGAAUAUGUGGACCAUUUGAGAAUUGUGUUGCAAGUUCUUAAGGACCAAUAACUUUUUGCAAAGUAUCACAAAUGUGAAUUUUGAUUAAGGGCCGUAGCUUUCCUUGGUCAUAUUGUGUCAAGUAAGAGAAUUGAGGUAGAUCCUAAGAAGACAGAUGCGGUCAAGAGUUGGCCUAGACCUCUAACCCCUUCCGACAUUAGAAGCUUUUUGGGUUUGGCCGGUUACUAUAAAAGGUUUGUUGAGGGAUUUUCUUCCAUUGCUUCUCCUUUGACGGCUUUGACUCAAAAUAAGGCUAACAUUGUGUGGUUGGAAGCUUGUGAGAAAAGUUUCCAAGAGUUGAACGAUAGACUUACUUCCGCUCCGGUGUUGACCCUACCGGAAGGUACGGAUGGUUUUGUGGUGUAUUGUGAUGCCUCUAGAGUUGGGUUGGGAUGCAUGCUUAUGAAAAAUGGUAAGGUGAUUGCCUAUGCUUCAAGGAAACUUAAGAUCUAUGAGAAGAAUUAUCCUACCCAUGACCUUGAGUUAGCGGCGGUUGUGUUUGCCUUAAAAAUAUGGAGGCAUUAAUUGUAUGGGAUUCAUGUGGAUGUUUUGACCGAUCAUAAGAGUCUACAAUAUGUGUUUAGUCAAAAGGACUUGAAUCUUUGCCAAUGAAGGUGGUUAGAACUAUUGAAGGAUUAUGACAUGAGUGUCCUUUAUCACCCCGGUAAAGCUAAUGUGGUAGAGGAUGCUCUUAGUCGAUUGUCGAUGGGUAGUAUGACUCAUGUAGAUGAAGAAAAGAAAGAGUUGGUUUGUGAUGUCCAUAGGUUGGCUCGAUUAGGUGUUCAACUAGUGGAUUCCACUAAGGGUGUUGUCAUGGUCCAUAGUGGGUCUGAAUUGUCUUUUGUGGUGGAUGUAAAGGCUAAGCAAGGUCUUGAUCCCAUUUAAGUUGAGUUGAAAGAAGCGGUACUUAAGAAGUUCGUACUUAGGUACCAAGCUCGGUUAUGUGUUCCAAAUGUUAAUGACUUGAGGGAACGAAUUUUAGAGGAAGCCCAUAGUUCUCGGUAUUCUAUUCACCCGGGAGCCACCAAGAUGUACCGUGAUCUACGAGAAGUCUAUUGGUGGAAUGGGAUGAAGAAAGAUAUUGUAGGAUUUGUGGCCAAAUAUCCUAAUUGUCAACAAGUGAAAGUUGAGCACCAAAGGCCAUGAGGUUUGUCCCAAGACAUUGUUAUUUCUACUUGGAAGUGGGAAGACUUGAAUAUGGACUUUAUAGUUGGUUUGCCUCGCACCCCGCAACAACAUGACUCGAUAUGGGUAAUAGUUGAUCGGAUGACGAAAUCGGCUCAUUUCCUUUCCGUCAAGGUUUCUUAGUCGGCGGAAGACUAUGCUAAGAUGUAUUUGAGAGAGGUGGUGAAAUUGCAUGGUGUGCCUUUGUAUAUCAUUUCCGAUCGAGGUACCCAAUUCAGUUCUCAAUUUUGGAAGUCAUUCCAAAAGGGUCUUGGUACUAAGGUUAAGCUUAGCACGAAUUUUCUUCCCCAAAUCGAUGGGCGAGCGGAACGUACUAUCCAAACCUUGGAAGACAUGUUAAGGUCUUAUGUGAUUGAUUUUAAGGGUAUUUGGGAUGACCAUUUGCCAUUUAUGGAAUUUGCCUAUAAUAAUAGCUAUCACUCGAGUGUUGGUAUGGCUCCAUUUGAGGCUCUUUAUAGUAUGAGGUGUAGAUAUCCUAUAGGUUGGUUUGAGGUGGGUAAAGUUGCCUUGAUAGGUCCUGAGCUAUUUUAUGAAGCUAUUGAGAAAGUUCGGCUUAUUGGAGAGAGGUUGAAAACGGCUCAAAGUCGACAAAAGUCUUAUGUUGAUGUUAGAUGAAGGGAUCUUGAAUUUGAGGUUCAUGAUUGGGGUUACUUGAAACUAUCACCUAUGAAGGGUGUGAUGAGGUUUGGUAAGAAAGGGAAGCUUAGUCCCCGGUAUGUAGGCCCAUAUCUUUGAGGCGUGUUGGCAAGGUUGCCUAUCAGUUAGAUUUGCUAAAUGAGUUGACAUCAGUGCAUCCAAUUUUCCAUGUCUCUAUGCUUAAGAAGUGUGUUGGAGAUUCGACGUCCAUAACUCCGCUAGAACGGUUGGGAGUUGAUGAAAGCCUCUCUUAUGAGGAAGUUUCGGUUGAGAUUUUCGACCGACAAGUUAAGAAGUUAAGGAAUAAGGAAGUUGCUUCCAUAAAAGUUUUGUGGAGCAAUCAAUUAGUUGAGGGUGCUACUUAGGAGGCCGAGGCCGAUAUGAAGUCUCGAUAUCCUCAUCUCUUUCCCUCAAAUCCUCUCCUAGCUUGAAGUAAUGAGUUCCUCUUGAUUGUUUUUUGUUUAGGAGUCAUGUGUGAUUUAUGUGUUUCUAUGAUUUCGUUAUGAUUAUACAUGUUCAUGAAAAAGCUUAUGUUUUGAAAUAAAUGGCUUAAAUGACUUAUUUUCCUCAUGUUGUUGUGUUUUGAGUAUGAGUUGCCUCAUGACUUAUUGAUGAACAUGUUUUUGAUAUGUUUUUUUAGAGUAAAUUGCAUAUAGGCUCCAUGAGAUCUUGUUGAGCAUUCUUUAAAGCUUGGAGAAGGUAGUUCCUCCUAAGAACAUAAGAAAUGUUGAAAUUUCAUGUAUGAUGGUUGUUAGAUGUAGUUCCUACUUCCUUGUGUUGCAUUUGAGUAUGUUGAGAGUUAGAGUCGAUAGUCCCUCCUCGGUUGUAUGCAUUGCAUUGAUUCGAUUGGGUUGUUAAUUUCUAUCAUACUCUUUUAGAGCCAGUUUAAACCUCAUUCUAGGACGAAUAAUCCCAAGGGGGAUAUAUUGUAACACCCCGUAUCCGAAAGAGGGAAAUAAACCAAAUUUUUGGGAAGUUGCAUGUGCCAGCCACAGAGGUCAACCACGACCCGCAGGUUGAACGACGGACCGUAGGUGUGGUCUGUGGGUUGGUCACUCUGCCAGAGUUCAGGGGUCCCAAGUCAUGGUCUUUGAUGACCAACGACGGUUCACUAGGACGGACCGUGGGUCAGACCACGUCCCGUUGACUGGGCCUGUCGAUGGGUCACUUGGAAAAAGGUCCAAGCAUGGACCACGGAAAGGACCUACGGACCGUAGGUUGGUCCAGGGUUCCGUCGAUGGCCAAAAUUCUCUGUACUUAGUGAUGGAUGUGCAGGAUGGACCGUAGGUCUAUCCACGGUCCGUCGAUGGGGGUCUCGUGGGUCACUGCUGGCAGUUAUCCUUAGGGUUAGUUGGGUCUUUUCCUAAUUAAUUACUUCAUAUACUAUGUCAUUUUGCUUGCAUCUAGACCACCUAUAUAAGUAUCUUUAACCCCCAAAAUCCCCAAUUUAAUUCAUUCUUCCUAAAUCCCAAAAGAAAUCCAACUCCUCUCAACUAUUCUCUCUCAAGAACUUGAAGAUAAAGAAGAAGAUUUCACCUAGGGUUUCAAGCUAAGGAUCCAAAUUCUCCAUUGAAGAUAGGCAAUUGGACUUGAGGUAUGAUAGCUUUCAUCCAUGGGUUCCUUCCACCCAUGGAGUCCCCAAAUUCCUCUAUUUCAACUGGUAGGAUUCCACUAUUAGCUAGGGUUUUCUUCAAACACCAUCGUUUCUUUUGAUUAUUGAUCUUAGUGGUUUAAUUAUGUCUAAAUAUGCAUGAAUUGAUGAUUUACAAUUCUUUAUGAUGUAUCCCCUAUGAACCCAUGCAAACCCCCAUGUUUUCCAAAUAGUGAUCUCAUAAUGUGGGUUGUUGAUGAUGAAAGAGGAGUUUUAUGAUCUAAAGCAUGAAGUAAUAGAAUUACACAAAUUUAUGAUUAAAUCCCUAUCUAAUGUUAGAAUUCUAGAUUUGGUGAUUUAAAGUAGAUUUGAACCUUGAAAGGGCAAAGUGUGAGUUUAUGCAUGAUCUUAUGAAACCUAUGUAAAUGCUUUAAGGGUGCUUUGAGAGUGAAGUGUCAAUGUUGUUGUUGUUGUUGUGUUGUUUAAAGGUUAUUCUCAUAAAACAUUUACAACCAUGAUAUGAAAGGUUUUCUCACAUAGAAAGGAUUCCUAGGUUGUAAGGCUAUUCUCACCUAAUUGAAUCAAUGAAUAACAGUUAUCCUAAUGAACUAACUUGGAUUGACAAGAUGAUAUCUCUUUCCAUGGACAAUGGGAAUAAGUAAGAAAAUACUAUUUCGUGGGAAUUAAGCUUAGCACCGAGUGGAUAUUGACCUUGAGAUGGAAGCUCUCCCGUGAGUAGAGGCCGGGUUUCUACAAGAAGUCUCAUGAGAUGGAAGCUUACCCGUGAGUAGAGGCCGGGUUUCUAGUAGCAAUCUCCCUAUCCCAUAACUAUGUGCCCCCAUAGGUUGAUUAGCUAGUGGAUCCACUUAAGCUAGAUGUUCAUGGUUCUACCUUAGGAAAGUAGAACAACCCUUUUCGGUUUGGGAGACACCGGGUGAUCAUGUUUUAGCUCACAUGGUCUCUAUGUCGGUUAAGGAUAAUUCUCCCACAACAAGUUGACUUAUGAACUAGGGUUACUUAAAGAAGUAUCUUAUAUGUGCUCAAAGACUUAAAGGUGAUUUAGCUUGCAUUGACCAUGAUGUUAUUACAUAUGUUUUCCAAUUAUUUCUAUUAUGAUAUUUAAACUUGAUAAAUUGCUUAUCAUGAAAUGAAAUGUCAUUUUUAGCAUGUUUUAAAUGUUUUUAUGCAUAGUUAUCAUACUUAGUGCAUUUUUUUACUAACACAUACUCUUGCGACACGCCGAGUGGUCACUUACCUCGCCGAGUUUUACAAGACCUCCAGUUAAUAUAGGGGUCCAAAUGGCGGACAAAGUCGCGAUAGCCAACCUAUUCGGCGACUCGCCAACUUGUUCAUGGGCCCGUCGAGUUUAACAGACUCCAACCUGAUAAUUUCUUGAGUCCAACGUUGGUCCAAGUCGGGCUCGCCGACUGGACAUUUUGCUCGCCAAUCACCACUUUUCAAGAACAUUCCAAACUUCCACCUGCACAAUCAACACACCAUUAUUUCAAAAACAAAACAGAAACAGUAAAACUUGGGUUGCCUCCCAAGAAGCGCCUUAGUUAACGUUGUGGCACGAUGCAAGUCCCUACUCAACCCUCACUCCUGGGUAGAGAUGUGAUUACAUAUGGCCCAUUUGGGUCUCCAGUAGCUGAAUCGACAUGGAAUGAGAGACAGACAUUUGAUUCAGCAGUGAGAUAUUCUCUUUUAUCUCAUUCAACACUCUGUCGUAUUGUUCGACUUUGUGGAGAAUGAGUGAGAGUAUCUCUUCUAUUUGUCCACCCUCGUACUCCUUGGGUUUUAUACGCUCGUGAAGGGGAAUGUACCGAUCUUUCUUUUUGCACGGUACCUCCAAUUCCAUAAUCUGUUUGGUCACGAGAUCCAGCAGAGUCAACAGUGUGGCCAAAAUCUGGUCCUUCUCAGUCUCUUUGUUGGUCUUGGUCAUAUGAUCAAGGAGCUGGGCUGCUAUUGCAUAGGGUAGUCGUGUGAGACCACCCAGAGAAAUUUGGUCAGCCAUUCUUCUGUUCUCAAGACCAAGACUGUAUAGAAGCACUUCAGUAGCAUCUCAUCUGGGAUUUCAUGAGUUGGGCAUUACAACAAUAUUGUCUUAAAUGUCAGCCACAACUUAUGGAUUGUCUUACCCUCCAAUUGUUUAAACUUUAGGAUGUUAUCCCUAAGAACCAUCAUUUUUGAAGAAGGGUGACCAACUUGGUUACCGUUACUACUGGACAUGCUUAUCUUCCAUGUUCUAAACAACAAUACAAACCAAAACUAAAAAUAAAUAGAUUCAACUAUAACUAAAAAGAACAAAAUUCAACUUAACCAACGAAUCUUAACCAACACCACUCCCCGGCAGCGGCGCCAUUUUGAUUUAACGUUUCAAAGACACUUCAUCCAAUUCUAAGUGUCAACGAUCGUUAGUCAGUAUAUAACCCAACUAAAUGAGUUGGGGUCGAAUCCCAUAGGGAGCAGUACAUGUUUAAGAUUCAAUAGUAAAGUGUGAACAUGAUCAAAUCAAUCAUAGGAAUAGACAUGAUCGAAUAAAAAUAUAAUUCAAAUCAGGGGUUGACACGAAUGUCAAAUAAGGGGGUUUUGGUUUGAAAUUAUCAACUACANNNNNNNNNNNNNNNNNNNNNNNNNNNNNNNNNNNNNNNNNNNNNNNNNNNNNNNNNNNNNNNNNNNNNNNNNNNNNNNNNNNNNNNNNAAAAAACAAUACGGAAAUAACAAUAAUGAGACGGGUUCUUAGGAUGUGAUUUGAUUACAGGCUAUUAUAGACAAAUGGGUUGUUGCAACUGUUAGAAAAUGGCUAAAAAUAAGUGAGUAAGCUAGACUAUAGAGGAGAUAAACUUUAUCUCGAACAAUUUACCCCGAAUCAAGUUGAUUUCUCUCGAACAUCAACAAGCAUGCAAAAUAAGAACAGCCCACACUUAGUCCAUUUACUCUCUUGAGCUGAAUGUGUUAAAAAGGGUUAGGAUUCACUCUCUCGAGCUGAACCCAGGCCAACCCAAUACCCAUUGACCAUCAAUCAAGCACCUUAGUUCUAAAACCUCUCUCGAGCAAGCCAAGAACACAAAGGUGGAAUCACAUUUGCAACUGCAAUUCCUAAAUUAACCUACAAUAAAUGAUUGAACUCACUUUUAAAUAGUAAUUAAACUAACAAUUAACAAUACCCAUUAGCUAAAUCAGCCCAUAAUUACAUAAUCACACUCCAAGAAUUGGGGUUUUAGCUAGACAUCAUUAAAAGAUAAAAAUCGUUACCAAAUUGUUUUUCUAUCAACUGGGUAAGAUUGAUUUUGUCUUUACAAUGUUCCAAUUCGAAGAAUAUCAAAGACCCACUUCCAAUUUCUCAGAAGUGAAGAGCUUCGAUUAUCCAAAGCUUAGGAAAAACUAGAGAAAACUCUCCAAAAACUCUUAGAUAUCCAGUCUCAAAUUAAGAUAAAAAUUGAUACUAAACUAAAGAGAAAACUCUCCAAAAACUCUUAGCUAUCCAAUCUCCUAUGAAUUAAGAUAAAAAUUUAUAAAAAUUGAUACUAAACUAAAUGUUCAAAAAUGUAUUUAUAGUCGCCAAAAAUGUGCUGCGAAGAGCCACUCGCACAGUAAGUCGGGCUCGCCGAUCCACUCGCCGAUCCCUCCUUUGGUCAAUUCCAUCACCUUUCUGCCUUGGCCUUCAGCAACCUCAGGUUCUGUAACUUUGGGCGAUCCAACACUGCAUUACGGAAUCACUCGACGAAUCACCGACUGCUCCUUUCUCUUGCCAACUAGGUUCUUUCCUUCAGGGAUUGGCACACUGGAACUUUAGGCGGUCAGUUGGCCAUUCGGCGACUCGCCAAAUGGACUUGGCGAUCACCAGGCUCUCUUUUCUACAUUCUUUUAGAUCGUUUUGUUCCUUUUUGUAACUUAGUGUCCUUGCGUUGCUCCUCAAUCCAUAAUCCUGAAAAUCAAGGAAUUUACAUCAGUUAUUAGCACAAAAUAAGCAUUUAAGGACACUAAACCUAUACAAAUAAAGCUCUAAAUGAGUCCAAAUCUCGAACUCAUCAGCUAGGCCCACUUUCAUUCGAUUAUAAUAGAUGGCUAUGUUGAGACAUGAGUUAGACUUCUGCUUUUCUAUAAAGAUGUUUUGGACUUAAAUGUUGUUUUUACUCUUGAUUGUUCUAAUGUUUUAUGUUAUGAGGACUAAGUGGCUUGUAUGGAGUCCUUCAGGGUUCUAUACGCCAUGUUACAUCUAGGGGGUACCCAUGGGUCAUGACACUUAUCACCUUUUCUCAAUCUAUACUUCUUCGGUCUACAUUUGUUUCUCCUCAUACCCUUUAUAACAACACAUCGCACCUCCUCACUCUAGCGUCUAAGAAUCUUCUAUUCACGUGUCUAAACUAUCUAAAUCUUGCUUUCAUCAUCUAAUCACCAUAGAGGUCACUCUCGUCUUAUCCUGGAUAUCCUCAUUUCUAAUAUUAUAUUACUCGUAGUAUGGCCACAUAUCCACCUCAGCAUCCUCAUCUCCGCAACAUGCAUCUUCUACACAUGAAAUUUUUUGACUGGCCAACACUUUAUCUUCUACAACAAUGUCGGUCUAACCACCACUCUAUAGAACUUACCUUUGAGUUUUGGCAGUACCUUUUUAUCACACAAGACUCUAGAGGCAAAUCUCCGCUUCAUCGAGGCUACACCAAUAUAAUGUGUGAUAUCAGUAUCAAUGUCACCACUCCCCUAGAUUAUAGACUAAAGAUACUUGAAUGUGUCUCUCUUAGAGAUAUUUUACGUGUCAAGCCUCAUUUCCACGCCAACUUCAUGCAUCGCAUCAUUGAACUCACACUCCACAUACUUUGUCUUGGUCCUGUUCAACUUGAACCAUUUAGUUUCUAAAAAUUUUCUUCACACCUCUAACUUAGCAUUAACUCCAUCGCACGUCUCAUCUAUUAAUAUUAUGUCAUUCGCAAAUAGUAUACACUACAACACCUCAUCUUGAAUGUCUUACGUCGAUUCAUCCAUUACCAAGACAAAUAGACUAAGAGUUGAUCCCUGGUGUAACUCCAUCUCCACAAGAAAUUGCUCAAAAUCUCCUCCCACCAUUCUAAUCCAUGUUUUAUCUCCUUCGUACAUAUCCUUUAUUUCCCAAAUGUAGGUCACCAAUUCACCCCUUUCCUCCGGACAUAUCCACAAGACUUCCCUCGCGACUUUAUCGUAGAUCUUUUCAAGGUCAUGAAAACCGUAUGUGUAACACCCCGUAUCCGAAAACAAACCAAACCAGCAAAUUUCCAGAAGUUGCAGGUGCAACCCAUGGUUGCCACCCACGGUUGCCACCCACGGACCGUAAGGUGACCCACGGCCUAUUCUGGAGGUCUGUGGAUGGCCACAUGCAACCCUCUCCAGAAACUCAGACAAAAACCAUUCUAAGGCAUGACCCAUGGUCGGACAGGACAAAUUGUGGAUCAGUACACGGAUCGUCGAUCCGUCCGUAGGUCAAGACCUUCAGGACCCCUCAGAACCUGGUCCCUGAAGUCGAUCGACGGUCAGACAAGACAAAUGUGUAUCAUUCGACGGACCGUCGAUCGGUCCAUAGGUCAAGACCCUUAGGACCCCCCAGAACCUGGUCCUUUAAGUCGAUCGACGGUCCGAAAGGACGGAUCGUGGAUCAGUCGAUGGACCAUUGAUCCGUCCGUAGGUCAAGACCAUCAGAACCUAGUCUCUGAAGUCGAUCGACAGACUAACAUGACGUAUUGUGGAUCAGUCCACAGAUCAUCAAUCCGUCCGUAGGUGGCUUCAGCAGAUUUUAAGUUAUGGGUUGUUUGGCUUUUUUUCCUAUGCGUUGGACACCUAAACUACGUCGUUUAACCCCUAAACUACGUGGUUUUGGUCAGUUUUAGCCUAGUAAACUAAUUAGAACCUAACCUAAUCAGUUAUUUACCAAAAAUUCAUCAAACUUAGAGCAAAAUAAAGGAGAAAGUCGAGCAGCCCUAGUUCAAGAACGCAACGAGUUUUCAUUAGUUCCAUCCCCGAAAUCGAAAGAUUUCUCCAUGAAUUUCGUCACCACGUAUGUGAAAUUUCACUAAUGGGUUCCUUUCACCCAUUAGGUCCCUAGAAUUCAGUCAGAUUCUUGAUUCCCUUAAUAUUAUCCAGACCUAGAGUUUUUAGAAUGUUAGAAAUUGUUGGGUUUUAGCUGUUAGAAUGAUCCAAAUCAGAUUAUCAUGUUAUUGCUUCGCUUCUUGUAUGAUAUUCAGAACCCUAGCUAUGUAGUUCUUUUAGUUCAUGAAUUACACAUGCUAGGUUAGUUAUUUCAGAUAUACAUGCCUCAUAUUUGAAUGUUUCAUUAUCAGUACAUUAAUGUUGCAUUUUCAGUUAGCAUGUCAGUAUUUUGAGCUAUCCAGUAUUACAGCAGUCAUAAAUUGUUAAUUACAUAAUAAAUUGGGAGUAGCUUAAUAUCAAGUGCACUAGGGUCAGUCACCCUCAAGUCCUAGAACUACGUUCCCCGUAGGUUGUAAUCCCCUCUAUGGGCAUCAUUUUAGUGAUCACACCAGUCAUGCAUCUAUACCUCUGGCAGGGUAUAUUAGGUCCUCUCGAUGAGGCGUAUACAUUGGACUCCACGUUUAGCUCACGUGGUUUUAUGUCGGUUAUUAGUAACUCCCACAGACAGUCAGAUUCUAGUGUAGUGACCAGGUUAUCAGUUACAGUUCAGUAUUCAGUUUCAGUAUGUAUAAACUUGGUCAUUGCAUCCAGUUAGUUCAUGUUCAUUAUUCUCAGUAUAGUAUCAUGCUUAUCUCUUAUUAUUGCUCAGAUAUAUGCUUUGGUUCAGUUAUGUUUAUUGUUCAGCUUUAUUCUAUCAUGCAUGCUCAGUACCUUUCAAGUACUGACGCAUACUCUGCGCUACAUCCUCUCAUGAUGUAGGUUCAGGUUCUCAGCUUCCAGAUCAUGCAUAGAUCGGUUCCCGAUCUUCAGCUCAGCAGCACCAGUGGUGAGUCCUCAUUCUUCGAGGAUGACAUACAUGUUCAUUUGCUUUUAGUCUUAGUUUCAGUUUUUGCUAGAGUUAGUUGGGGCAUGUCCCAACACUUCUAGUCAGUUAGAGGAUAUUUUCAGACAUAGUUAGAUUCAGCUUUAGCAUUUGAGUUUGACCUUUCAGUUGUUGUUAAACUCUCAGUUUAUAUAUAUUCAGAUAGUUUAUGGGUAUCCCCCAUCAUUGCAGUUUAUCUUAUGAUUUAGCUUCCGCACAAUAUUUCUUUACUUCAGUUUACUUUAGUAUGCUUAUGAUGUGCCAACAUGGUUAGCUUGGGGUCACUCGUAAUCCUAGGUCCCGUAUCCGUGUCCAAGGGGUAGCUUCGGGGCAUGACAAUAUGUAAGUCCUUCCUUUUUUCGAUAUUUCUCUAUCAAUCACCUCACCUGAUAGAUGACUUCUGUGGGUGAUUGUCAUGGCAUGAAUCCAAACUGAUUCUUGAAAAUAGACAUACCCCUCAUCUCCAUCACUCUCUUCUAUAUUUUCAUAGAGUUUGACUUAACAACUUAAUUUCUAUAGUUAUUGCAAUUUUAAAUAUCACCAUUGCUCUUGUACAAUGAAAUCAUCGUACUCCACCUCUAUUUUUCGAACAUCUUAGCAGUCCUAAAAAUGACAUUGAACAAGCUAGUUAACAAUUCUAAACCCACUCUAUCCAUGUUCUUCCAAACUUCACUGAAAUCUCAUCUGGUCAUGUCGUUUUUUCCCUUUACAUCCUACUUAUUGCAUGUUUCACCUCUUCCACUUUAAUACAUCUACAAUAUCCAAAAAUUUGAUGCAGUGCUCCAACUUCUCUAGUAUAGAUCGGUAAUUUUCUUUAAAAAUAUUGAUAAUUAUGGAUGCAAAUUAAGCAUUUCAUUUGUAUUAUUUGUGUGUAGUGAAUAAUCAAAUAUGCUAUUGAUGGCGGCUUGAGACAAAAUGACAUUGCGAUGGGUGCCUUGACAAGAAUAAUGAAGACAAACAUAAAGUAAUCAUUUUCUUCAAUGGAUUUUUAAAAUUUUAGGCAAUAUAAUCAUGAAUUUUAUGCAUAAAUAAUCAUAAUAUUUUCAAUAGAAUUAAUUAUCUUUCUAAUGAUUUUUUUCUCCAAAAAUCUUCUUUGGUUGAUCCUCCGAUGAGUUUGAGCAGGAAAAUUAUGAAGUUUAAAUUGAGAAAUUAUUAACCUUUCGAUGUAAACCAUCUUCUUUCCUUUCUAUUACUUUUUAGAGUUCUUCCAUAAGGGUUUGAAUAUGCAUCCAUGGGUAAAGAACUGUUGAAGAAGAAGAUGUCAAAAUAAAGAAAAAUGUGAAAACAUUUUUAAAAAAUUGGGGGGCCACAAAUAAAGAAACAAUUUUUUUUUUAUUAUUGACAUAAUUAACACUUUCUUCACAUAAUCUUUAGGAUCAUGCAUCUCUUCUCCAUAAUCUCCUCAUCAAAUCUACGUCUCGACACAGAGAACCUCUCUAAAACAAUUUUCCAACAAAAAUCUUCUGUCAAAAAUGUUGCGGCUAGAACUACACCCGCCAAGAUGAACACCCAAUUUUUAACCUGGUUCAAUCAUUGAUUAUCGAACCACUGGACCUGUCUCCAUCAUUGAAUCUAGCGCUGAUACCACUUGUUAGGACCGAACAUAAGCAGGUGUAAUGCGGAAGCUAGCAAAGCAAACCUUGAAAGACCAUGAGUAAGAAGACAAACGAGAAAUAUACCAAAAGACACAAAGAUUUAACGUGGUUUGGUCAAUCGACCUACGUCCACAAAGGAGAUGAGCAAUCCACUAUAAAUAUGAGAGUACAAAAUAUAGAGAGAAAUAACAUCAACCAAUUCCCUCGGAAUACAAGGAGGUUCACAAAAUUCUCCCCCACAACCAAAACUCUAAAAACCCUAGGACUACAUUGUGAAAUCUGAUUAAGUUAGAAGGAACAAGCCUAUACUUAUAGAGUCCUAAAACUUUUCCUACAAAAAAAAAACUAGUCAAAAUAUUAAAACAUUUUCCUAAAAGGAAAACCUAUUUAUGGUAAGAAAUCAGGGUAAAUAAACCCCAACAGAAAUUAUAAUACUAAUUAUAUAAUGAUCAAUAAGAUAGUGUCACAUGUUCAAAUUUGUCUUUUCACAUUUUUUUUCUUCUUCUCACGCACCUUAAGGAAGGUGAAGAAACUUUCUCUACCAUGUCAUCUUCAAAGGGAGCAUUAAUACCACUUUAAACAAGUUCAGGUGUGUAAUAGAUCAUGAGAAUAGUUUAAAUGUGUAUCUGACUUUUCGAGACAAGUUCGGGGGGAGGGGGGAGAAUCUAUGCCUUUUCCCUUUAAAAUUUUACAAACUUAUUUGUAAAUUUUAAAAAAAAUAUUAUUUUAAGAAAAAAUUAAUUAAUUUUAUUUUGAUUUUAUAAAUUGAUAAGUGAUUUGAGAUAAUUAACUUAUGGUGAUGUAAAUAACUAAGGGAGCAUGUGAGAAGUUAAAAUAGAUUGAAAAUGUGGUGUCCUUUAUGUUGAAAAAAGCUGCCAUGUCGAUGAUGAGUGGGUCCAUGUGAUCAAAUAUUUCAAUUUCCAACUUCAAAUUCUUGACUUUGACCCUUUUCUUGCCUACAAAUCUCCAAGAGCCUUCAAUUGAAUAUGCUGCCAACUGCAAAAGAAUUGUUUAUCAACCACUAACAACAUGCCACGUCAACAUCCAUGUUAACUAGAUCUUGACCAUAUUUAAGAAUGUCAUGGGAUCAACUUGUUCCAAUAAUUCACUUAAUUUAGAAGAGGAACCUAAUAUUAUAAAAUGAAAAAAUUAGACACAAAAUGACCAUUAUGCCACUUUAGAUCAAGGUCCAUGUUUGAAGCACUUCCUCCUCCUUCUUCUUCCUCCUCUUUUCUUGCUUUCAUUCCUUCCUCAUUCUUUUUUCAUAUUUAGACUUUAAAAUUCAAAUUUAAAUUUGGAUGUACCGCAAAUGAGAAUAGUGGAUAAAUAUUUAAAAACUUGAAGUAUUGAGAGGAGCUUAUAUAUAUAUAUAAUAGGAUUGUUUAGAGGAGAUUUGAGUUGGUCCGGAUUGGAAGACUCCAUGUCCAGCCAUUAAAAUGGCCUAAUUUUAAAAUAUGAUGUGCCGCAAUCGUGAAUUGUUUCGAGUGAAUAAUAUAUCAAAAGUCUUGAAACGUUAAGAGGAGCUCAUAUCUGAAAUUUGAAAUUGUUUAGAGGAAAUUUUGAGUUGGUGGGAUUGAAAGAUUCCAUUAGCCAUUAAAGCUUCUUCACAACUUCAUUUUAAAAUUCAACAUGCCGCAAAUGUGAAUAGUUUCGAGUGCAUAAUAUAGCAAAAGUCACGAGAACAUUGAGAGGGGGUCAUAUUUAAAAUGUAUGUUGCUUAGAGGAGAUUUAAAUUGGUUGGGAUUGAAAUUGCAAUGUAUAAAUAUUGUAUAAACAACGUAUAUGAAUGUAUAUACAUCUUUAAUACAUAGUUAUACAUCACAUACACAUAGAGGCGAAUCCAUGAUUUGAAGACUUCGGGUGCACCAAAUAUGAUCUUUAAGCUAAACUUAAAAUAAAAACAAUGAAAUUGUGCUCUAGUUGGGUUUGAACCCGGUCUCAUGGGUGGUUCUUCUAUCUUGUACCAGCAGCAAAAGAGCACUCCUAUACUCCUUCGGGGUGCAUUGGUAAAUAUAUCUUAAUUUCUAUCAGUUUCUUAAGAUAGAUAUACAUAUAUACACAUGAUUUUUUCCUAAGUUAAUGGGUGCACAUGCACCCCUCCUGGGUCCUCCUCUCUCUCUAUCUCUCUCUCUCUAUAUAUAGUAUACAUUAUUUAUAAAAUAUAAAUACGUUACAUAUACGUUAUGUAACUAUUUUUACAAUAUUGAUACAUUACAUAUACAUGUGACUAUAUUUGUUGGUUUUUUUUGUCACCCACACAAUUACUUAAUUUGGCCCUUAUAAAAUGGCUCUAAAUAUAAUGUGCACCUUUCUUCUCUACUUUAAGAUAUAACGGAAUCUCUUAAACGUACACAAGAAAAGAGAUGACAACUACACAAAACAAAGAUAAUUAUAUUUGUCCUUGAUCAAUUGUAAUUUUAACACGAUGAAUUAGGAGUCGCUGUAAACUAUUCUGUGGAGGAAGCUCGUGUAACACAUUUUCUGUUUAAUGGAUUGUAAUUCUAUUGUUGAAUUUCAAAGAUAAAAUUUACAAAUAAAAAUUCAUUUUGCGAAUUUGGGGUAGGAAAAGGGAAAAUGAGGGAGGGGAUUACAAAAACGAGAAAUUGAACCCUCGUCAAUAAAGUGAAAGUUCAAAUAGUCAAUCAACUGAUCUAUUAAGAUUCUCAUUAAAUUCACACUUAGCAUAAAAUUUAAGAAAUAAAUUUUUUUGACACACAAAGUAUCCUUAUUAUCGUGUCAUCUACAAAAUCUUAUGUCACUCCUAAAAAACAUAUCAUUUACGAAAAAACUAAACCACUCCGAUCCUCAAAGCAUGAACACAUGCAAAACCACAUUUUCAGAGAUAUCCCAUAAGAUUAUUUUAUCACACUUUUUAUGGAAUUACUCAUCCCACCAUUUACAAUAUAAAAUAAUUCUACGACUAAGUAAUGCUCAUUAUCAAAUACAAAAUAAAAUAAUCUCAUAAAAUAUUAUGAGAUUAUUAUCCCUAUUUUACCCACUAAACAACCUUUAAUUGUGUAUAGUCUCUAAUCAUAAAUAGAGUUACAUUUUUUGCAUAUUCGCAUUAGUAGUUUAAUCCAAAGAUGUGAGAAAUAUGAUAGGAGGGGAGGGGUUACAUUUGAAUAAUUGAAUGUCAAAUGAUUCUAAUUAGUAAUUACCAUAACCUGUUAAGCCAUUUAAUUAAAAUUUUAAGUGUGAUUUUUCUAUUAAUAUAUAUAUGAAUUGAUAGUAUAAAUAUGAAAGCGAAACAAUAGUUUAUUAGAAAUUGUUUUUAAUUCUAUAGUACACAUAUACUUUAAAAAAUCGAGUUAGUUCCAAAAGAAUAAAUACAAAAUGUCAACAAAGUUGAAUUAAAGUAGUUGAUGCCAAAUCCAUAUAGAUUUGAAACCAGUAGAGGUGUGACAAGCACUCUUUAAGUCAAGACAAAUAUAGGGAAUUUCAUUUUUUUUCCUAAGUAUAUAGGCUUAUGCUAUUCUUGGAGACGUGAUCUAGUAAAAAAAUAUUGGUUGUGAUUGGAGGCACGUCAUAUUAGUUGGAAGUCUCCCUCUGAUUAAUCUUUUUAUUUUAUUCCAAUCCAAAAUAGUGCUAUUCAUGCAUGAAAGUAAAUGGAUUUUUCUUCCGGAAAACAACAGUUCAAUAGUAUAUGAAAAGAUGUGCCCUGUCAAAAGGGAGGAACUUGUGGUUCUGAUUACAUUUAUUCAAGUUUCUUUCAAUAUCUUUUAGGCCCAUCGCAGGCCAGAAAAAUGCAUUUCAUGUCUAUCUCAUUCAAUGGAAAAGAAGAGGACAAAGAAUAAUGAUGUUAUAAUCCAUAUUAAACUUGACUAGGGCAUUAGUUUGGAUCGCUGAAGAAACCGUUGAUUGAUGGCAUAAUCUCCGGAGACUUGUUUCGAACAAACUUCCUUAGAGCAUGCUCUGCAUAUUUCUCCCCUUCUGAAAAAUUAUCCAGCACUCCUGCUGCCCUGUUUUCUGGUUGGUGCAUAUAUUGCAUUCCACAGAUCCCUACAGCAACGCCUACGGCUGCAAAAAGUGGAUACACCUCGGGCCUCAGCCAUCGGAAGCCAUAGAAAAACGGGGGAAAGAACACGCAAACUUUACGAUCUUUUUGAGACU